GUACCUUAGGUCAGGUGGUAGAGCAACGGACUGAAAAUCCGUGUGUCCCUGGUUCGAUUCCUGGAGGUACCA
Molecule: transfer RNA, 72 nt
Filed under: Saprospiraceae bacterium
Lineage: Bacteria; Pseudomonadati; Bacteroidota; Saprospiria; Saprospirales; Saprospiraceae
Description: tRNA-Phe
Rfam family: tRNA
About the family: Transfer RNA (tRNA) molecules are approximately 80 nucleotides in length. Their secondary structure includes four short double-helical elements and three loops (D, anti-codon, and T loops).
Source: RNAcentral